This is a long non-coding RNA of Ailuropoda melanoleuca (giant panda), 389 nucleotides long. NCBI's taxonomy places the organism in Eukaryota, Metazoa, Chordata, Mammalia, Carnivora, Ursidae. The record is from Ensembl.
GGAAGAAAGCAGACAGAGAGGAAAGAGACCGUAGUAGCCCAAAGCGCUGCCCACAGAAUAGAAGCCAUAGUGGGCAGCAGGAGGAAAGUGGCCACCUAAAAUGAGAUGUGAGAGCGCUACAAGUCUGAGGUGAGCAGGAUUAUGUACUAAUUGAAGUAGAUCUAUCUGCCUCAAAGCCAACGAGGACUCUGCAAACAGACUGAGAAAGCUUUUGUAUCAGUUUCAUAUUCAGCAGGGUGUGGGUGCACAGAAGGAUGCACGUUACCUGCUUGGUUUCCAGUUUCUAGAAAACGGGGCAACACGUUGGGUAUUGUGUCACCACAAAGUGAGGGGUAGGAGAGAAAGGCGAGGAACACUGCAGAGACGUGACCCUUCAUGGUGAAGGACCU